UACGUAGGGUACGAGCGUUAAUCGGAAUUACUGGGCGUAAAGCGUGCGCAGGCGGUUUUCCAAGACAGAUGUGAAAUCCCCGGGCUCAACCUGGGAAUGGCAUUUGUGACUGGAAGGCUAGAGUGUGUCAGAGGGGGGUAGAAUUCCACGUGUAGCAGUGAAAUGCGUAGAGAUGUGGAGGAAUACCGAUGGCGAAGGCAGCCUCCUGGGCCAAACACUGACGCUCAUGCACGAAAGCGUGGGGAGCAAACAGG
This 254-nucleotide ribosomal RNA is filed under the name uncultured bacterium. Its description in RNAcentral is "partial 16S ribosomal RNA". It matches the Rfam family "Bacterial small subunit ribosomal RNA", at positions 524 to 776 of the family's 1533-position model. The record is from RNAcentral.